UACGUAGGGUGCGAGCGUUAAUCGGAAUUACUGGGCGUAAAGCGUGCGCAGGCGGUGAUGUAAGACAGAUGUGAAAUCCCCGGGCUCAACCUGGGAACUGCAUUUGUGACUGCAUCGCUGGAGUGCGGCAGAGGGGGAUGGAAUUCCGCGUGUAGCAGUGAAAUGCGUAGAUAUGCGGAGGAACACCGAUGGCGAAGGCAAUCCACUGGGCCUGCACUGACGCUCAUGCACGAAAGCGUGGGGAGCAAACAGG
Molecule: ribosomal RNA, 253 nt
Filed under: uncultured bacterium
Lineage: Bacteria
Description: partial 16S ribosomal RNA
Rfam family: Bacterial small subunit ribosomal RNA
Source: RNAcentral